GAUGAACGCUGGCGGCGUGCCUAACACAUGCGAGUCGAGCGACCGGACCUUUAGCUUGCUCUUUUCAUGUUAGCGGCGGACGGGUGAGUAAGACGUGGAUAACCCACUUCUAUUACUGGGAUUAUUUCGUGAAACCGGUUCCACUACUACCUAAUAUAUCGAACCGCAUGAUUCAAUAGUUAAACACGCCUUUGCCGUCUCUCUUAGAUGCUUCCGCGCCGCAUUAUCUACUUGGUAAGGUAACGGCUUACCAAGGCGACGAUGCGUAUCUGACCUGAUAGGGUGAUCAGCCACACUGGAACUGAGACACGGUCCAGACGCCUACGGGAGGCAGAAGUAGGGAAUCUUCCGCAAUGGGCGAAAGCCUGACAGAGCAACGCCGCGUGAGUGACGAAGGCAUUCGGAUCGUAAAACACUUUUAUUAGGGAAGAACAGAAGUGUAAGAAAAUAUGCCGGUCUUGACGGUACCCAAUCAAUAAGCAACGGCUAACUUCGUG
RNAcentral lists this ribosomal RNA (497 nucleotides) under uncultured bacterium. RNAcentral describes it as "partial 16S ribosomal RNA". It matches the Rfam family "Bacterial small subunit ribosomal RNA", at positions 28 to 507 of the family's 1533-position model. The record is from RNAcentral.